GGCUGAGUGGCAGAGUGGUCAUGCACCGGUCUGCAAAACCGUUGACUCCGGUUCGAUUCCGGACUCAGCCUCCA
Molecule: transfer RNA, 74 nt
Filed under: Thiospirillum jenense
Lineage: Bacteria; Pseudomonadati; Pseudomonadota; Gammaproteobacteria; Chromatiales; Chromatiaceae
Description: tRNA-Cys
Rfam family: tRNA
About the family: Transfer RNA (tRNA) molecules are approximately 80 nucleotides in length. Their secondary structure includes four short double-helical elements and three loops (D, anti-codon, and T loops).
Source: RNAcentral